Molecule: ribosomal RNA, 360 nt
Filed under: uncultured Pseudomonas sp.
Lineage: Bacteria; Pseudomonadati; Pseudomonadota; Gammaproteobacteria; Pseudomonadales; Pseudomonadaceae
Description: bacterial SSU rRNA
Rfam family: Bacterial small subunit ribosomal RNA
Source: RNAcentral
CGUGACACAGGUGCUGCAUGGCUGUCGUCAGCUCGUGUCGUGGAGAUGUUGGGUUAAGUCCCGUAACGACGCGCAACCUUGUCCUUAGUUACCAGCACGUUAUGGUGGGGCACUCUAAGGAAGACUGCCGGUGACAAACCGGAGGAAGGUGGGGAGUGACGUCAAGUACAUCAUGGCCCUUACGGCCUGGGCUAUACACGUGCUACAAUGGUCGGUACAAAGGGUUGCCAAGCCGCGAGGUGGAGCUAAUCCCAUAAAACCGAUCGUAGUCCGGAUCGCAGUCUGCAACUCGACUGCGUGAAGUCGGAAUCGCUAGUAAUCGUGAAUCAGAAUGUCACGGUGAAUACGUUCCCGGGCCUU